CCUACGGGAGGCAGCAGUAAGGAAUAUUGGUCAAUGGAGGCAACUCUGAACCAGCCAUGCCGCGUGCAGGAUGACGGCCCUAUGGGUUGUAAACUGCUUUUAUACAAGAGAAAACCCUGGUACGUGUACCAGGUUGAUAGUAUUGUAAGAAUAAGCAUCGGCUAACUUCGUGCCAGCAGCCGCGGUAAGACGAAGGAUGCAAGCGUUAUCCGGAUUCAUUGGGUUUAAAGGGUGCGUAGGCGGACUGAUAAGUCAGUGGUGAAAUCUCUUUGCUUAACAAAGAAACUGCCAUUGAUACUGUCGGUCUAGAGUAUAGAUGACGUUGGCGGAAUAUGACAUGUAGUGGUGAAAUACUUAGAUAUGUCAUAGAACACCGAUUGCGAAGGCAGCUAACGAAACUAUAACUGACGCUGAGGCACGAAAGUGCGGGGAUCAAACAGGAUUAGAUACCCUGGUAGUCCGCACCGUAAACGAUGAUUACUCGUUGUUGGCGAUAUGACAGUCAGCGACCAAGCGAAAGCGAUAAGUAAUCCACCUGGGGAGUACGCCGGCGAACGGUGAAACGUCAAAGAGUAAGUAGACGGNGNGAGAGCGACGACGGACGACGACGAGGGAGGAG
RNAcentral lists this ribosomal RNA (619 nucleotides) under uncultured bacterium. Its description in RNAcentral is "bacterial SSU rRNA". It matches the Rfam family "Bacterial small subunit ribosomal RNA", at positions 338 to 956 of the family's 1533-position model. The record is from RNAcentral.